CCAAAAACCCGAACUCCUUUCGCUUUACAUGUAAUGACUUUUAAGUGGGAAAUAUUUGAUUUGCUAAUACCAUCUUCAUAUUCUUGUACCUGAAAACAGCAAUUUGAUUUAACGGUUUAUUAAGGAAGAAUGUCGAGAGAGAAGUGCAAAUCAAUCUUUAUCAUCAAUCAAUCCUCAAAAAACUUAUGCUUACCACAAAUGAGUAAAGAUGAAAUGUGAUGCCAAGAACUCAUCUAUUGUCGUCGCCUGAGAUUUUUAGGAACUGCACCAUGUGAACAAUAGACACUUGGGUCUAAUCCACAAAUAAGACAACCAAGACUGCAAUUCCAUGUGAUACUUAAAGAUGUGAUUGUAACCUUUUGUUGACUUAGGAGACAUAUUUAAAUGCAGCACGUAGACUAGACACAAAACACAAUUGGUCCACCUCAUUUGCAUGUGCUUGUCUCAAGAAUAGAAAGAUACCUCAUUAGGCUUAGAUUUAACCGUUUAAUCAAAGUCCGUACGAGUUGCCUAAAAGAGCCUUUAAUGAGG
RNAcentral lists this long non-coding RNA (531 nucleotides) under Arabidopsis lyrata. Its description in RNAcentral is "long non-coding RNA (ALYR_LNC003002)". Lineage: Eukaryota; Viridiplantae; Streptophyta; Magnoliopsida; Brassicales; Brassicaceae. The record is from RNAcentral.